CUUUUUAAUCCAUAUCCACCUUGUGUGCAAUGUCAGUCGAUCUUCUUCAUGGAGAUCGACCAAACAUCAACCUUUAUUUUUUAACUCUUUGUCUGAAAAAUAUUAUGAAUAAACAAUUCAAAAUACAACUUUCAACAACGGAUCUCUUGGUUCUGGCAUCGAUGAAGAACGCAGCGAAAUGCGAUAAGUAGUGUGAAUUGCAGAAUUCAGUGAAUCAUCGAAUCUUUGAACGCACAUUGCGCCCCUUGGUAUUCCAUGGGGCAUGCUUGUUCGAGCGUCAUUUGUACCCUCAAGCUUUGCUUGGUGUUGGGUGUUUGUCCUUUUCUUUGCAAUUGGACUCGCCCUAAAUUCAUUGGCAGCUACAGUAGUAGUGGAAAGCGCAGCACAAUUUGCGCCUUUUGCUAGUAUUAUGGGCGUCCAUUAAGCACAAUUAACACUUUUGACCUCGGAUCAAGUAGGGAUACCCGCUGAACUUAAGCAUAUCAAUAAGCGGAGGAACAGGAUUUCNCAAGGGUCGGCAACGAUUCUUGUUAAACUCGAUCUCAAAUCAAGUAAGACUACCCGCUGAACUUAAGCAUAUCAAUAAGCGGAGGA
Molecule: ribosomal RNA, 594 nt
Filed under: uncultured fungus
Lineage: Eukaryota; Fungi
Description: eukaryotic LSU rRNA
Rfam family: 5.8S ribosomal RNA (bases 127-280)
Source: RNAcentral